CCGUCUACGAGGUUUCCGAAAACUUUCACUGUAAGUUUUUUUCUGGCUGUAAUUACUACACAUUCAGCAAUUUGAGAUCAUAGUACGCCGCCUAGGGCGAUUUCACGAUUGCAUGUUGACGCUGUGUUAAUUUUUUAUUCUGUAGUAGAAUGCACGCCAUGUGUUUGAUGAAUGAGCUGUAGAACAUUUUUUUCUUUCAAGCUUGACUCGUUUGAUAAUUCAAUUGAAUCGAAUCGAUCUAAUUCAUAUUUUUCAAUCCUCAGUUUGGCUUCAUUGUUUAAACUUUUACAUGUUUGACUGUUUGAUUAGCUCCAUUUGAUUGAAGCUACUCCGCGGGCGCGUGUGUUUUGUAUAUUGACUGAACCACAGCCAACACUUGAGUAAUUGAAUGAAAAACUGAAUGCAUGGUAUAAUGCAUGUGUCGUAAUUUAAAGUCAUUGAAUUGAAUUAUAAUGCAUUUGCCAUACAUUUUCUACCGUAAAACCAUUCGAUCCGAUUAAUAAAAGAAUAUUAAAAAGGAGGACUUUUACCUAGUGGGAUUUAGGAGCAUGAUUAAUGAUUAAUGGGGAGAUGUAGAAUGGCAGGGCAAUUCUCCUUUGGCAGAACUCGUUACAUUUUGAAAUGCAACGACAUUUUAUUCUGCCAGAGGAGAACUACGCUGUUAUUCUUCUCCACUUCCUAUACUGCUUUGCACCUCGGAGACUUCAGUUUUGACUCUGCCUCUCUCGAGCUUCGAUGGUGGAGUUUUAUGCUCAACUAUUCGCACCCUAAAUGGAUAUUCUCCUGUGAAGUGAAUGGUAUAUGCCGUGGAACAAUGCCUCUUAAGCAAUUCUUUCACUUUUUCGUGUUGCAGUCAUGGUCCCCGUUACCUUAGGUGUGUCCUUUAUGUGUCAUCAAGAUAAUGUUUUACUGCUGCGAAUAUCAAGAAUAAAACCAAAUUUAUAGAUGCCAUUGUGAUUAAAAGCUCGUAAUAAGUUACCUACAAUGUUGUUAUUAAGGUUUUUUUGCAUAAUAAUGUAGAUGUCAGGACAUUGCUUUUAUGUUUUGUCAUACGUAGAUGUCAGGACAUUGCUUUUAUGAUUUAUGUAUACAAUGCAAUAUUUAUGUCCAUAAAUUUCAUGCAUAUGCCUAAAAUAUGUAGUAGCAUGCAUUAACCUUAAGAUUGAGGCUUUAAGAGAUAGAUGAAAUGACUUUAUCCUUUUCAUUUAGACUACAGGAAUACUAGGUCAAUCCAAAGAAAUAACAUCAUUCGAGUGGAAAUGAAACAUUCUCUUCCGAUUUUCCGUACAAGUGAUGUUACAUUUUUAUAAACUCACAUUUAUGUACCUCUGAUUUAAAGUAGUUUCUUUAGUACGCCAUCAUGAAAAAAUCAUCUGAAACGAACCACCUGCUGAUGCUCAGUUAGCCAUGAUAUGAUUUCUAUUGAAACACGACAGAUUUAAUUUCUAGAGUUAGGACCACAAAUCUGGAAUUUGGACCACUGUUUUAGGAUUAGUCAUCUAAAGAUAAUAUAACGCUAAUACAAGAUUUCCAUGCUCCAAGCAUGCACAUGUUGUGCUAAAAACCACACAUGGAUAUAUCGGUUUAUCGUAUUGUAACCUGUGUCAAAAGGUUGGGUUGCUUAAACAUGCCAAAAUUCUGUGAUCUGUGUUUCGGAUUUUGUCUAAAAAACUUCCUCCAAGAUAAGGGAACUAAAAAUUAUCCUAACUCAUAUACAGAUGCUUUUACUGAGUAUGAUCCCACUCUUUUACUGAAGCAUCUCUUACUAAAAUCAACAGCAGCAAGUGAAGAGUUAUAUUAGAAACUUUUAUGAGUUGAUGAUGUCUGAUAAGGUGCAGUUUUUUGUUCUUUUAUUGAGCACUGAUUUGUUUUAGUUUUCUUUCUUAUGCUAAGUAGCGUUUUAAUCUUCCUGAAUAACAGAUAUCAAGCGUUACCGUCAGUGGAUCUUAUCAACUUCACAAGCCUCUAAACUGUGUAAGUUUUUUAUCCUCAUUAAACUUGGAGAUUUGAAGAAAGUUGAUAUUCGUCAUUUUUAAAUAGCUUAUUAGUUCCAUUUCGAAGUAUGAAUUCAACAUAUCCAUUUUGUUAUCUUUUUAAAUUGAUAAAUCAGAGCAACAAUGUGGAGAUAGCUUUUGGAACAAAAGUGAUCAAUUUCUAGUAACCACAAACUACUUAAUGAAAUAUAAUCCAAUAAAAAAAACAAAUAAUAAUAAUAUUUAUGAAUAUUAAUAUUAAUAUAAUCAGUUUCAGAAAAUAUGAGCCUAUAUUAAUAUAAGACAUUUCAUCUUGUGUGUGUCUAAGAAAUAAGUAUAUUGAAAGACAUUCAUGAACUCAAUUAAAAAAGCCUCCAUCCUUCAUCUGGUUAUUUAUUACAUUUGCUCAAAGUUGAACAUAAAUACUUGAGAUUGUAAUGUUUAUAGAUUAAAAUAUAGCACAGUAUGAGAAAAAAGAGAACAAAAAGACGAUUAGUUCCUGCAAAACUUGAAAUUUAUUAGCAUUGUGGGAUUGAAUGGCAGGGCAAUUCUCCUUUGGCAAAGAAAUAAGUAUGCAUUUGCAUGUCUUCCCUGCCAAAAGAGAAUCACACUGUUAUUCCUUUUUCCCACAGAAUUAACUUUACUAAGGCUGCAUGCAUGCUUUUAUUAUUGGAGUUCAUGUCUUUUAACACCAGAUACCAGGCUUUUAUAUAGGAACCGCCUAUACAGUUUUCGCACCUUCGUAUGGAUAUUCUGAAGGAAGAAACGGCAUAUGCUUUGGGACUAUUGCUCUACAGUUUUUUUACCCUUUACUUUUCAUCGGGGCCAUGGUACAAAAGUUCUGACCUUCACUCUCCCAUUUUUCGUUCUAUGGAUAUGCUAUUUUACUUGCAGAAUAUGUUAGAAUAUAAUAUUGUGCAUGUGCUUUGUCAUUUCACAAGGAAUUUGAUCCUUGAUUUGCUUUAACAUAUAUAUAUACACACACACACACACACACACACGUAUAUAUAAGAUUCCCCUUUUAUUUAUGUUUUUAAUAAAUACAAGUUAAUCAUACAUCAUCUUUUGCAUUAGUUGCUCCCACAUGAAGAACUUUGUAGUUUUGUCAUGAUAACAUGUUGGUGGUGUGAGACCGAGUUUAAGACUCGAUGAUUAGGUUUUGAACGUUUAUAAUUUGAUAAAUUAAGAUUAAUCAGGAACUUCGAUAAGUUUGUGUCCGCAGUUAUUUAGUACAGUAAAGAUUAAUUCUAUAUGGUUAGUGGUCUAAGUUGGUACAGCACCACGUAUAAUGGACGUGAUCAAGAAUCAAGAAUUACCAAGAAUUACUAAGAAUUACGAUAGUGACCUCAAAACUUUGAUUAGUGAUAUCACCAGCCUCGAAUCAGGAUCAGUUCUAGUCUAAAGCAAACAAGUGUUGAGGAAUAAAUAUAUAAUCCUAGGAAAGAUUAGCGUGAAUGAUUGUCUGUUAGUUGUUUCUCGACACCUCACAAGUAAAACAUAUUCCCUGUAAUAUUCCACGAAGACAUCCAAUUUUCACAAAACCAUUUCCUAGGGGCACUGUUAUCAAUGCUACGGCGAUAGAUUAAAACAAAAACAGAAAAAUAGAAACAUUUUUUUUCAGUUUCCCGUACGAAAGUGAAACAGCUUAUUCCUCUGACCGGUGAGUGUAAGAAUAUGCUUCAAAUAUCCCUAUAGCGUGAAUGUAGUAUUUUCAUACAACUAUAAAUAUAUGCAUGAACUGAGAAACUAUUCAUCAACGGACAACAUUGAAAAAUGUGAAACGUUAGGGAUUCAUUACCGGGCAAUUACUCCGUUGGCAGUAGCUUGGCCAGAAAUUGCCAAUGGCAAUUUAGUAAUAUUAGCCAGCUCACUGCCAAGGGAGAUUUGCCCCGCAAUGUACCCAUAAUAUAAUCUUUCUUCUUUCGAGCUAUAACUUAAAAGAGGUAAUAAUAUUACUGUUAUUUUGGCUCCUUGUUAUAUUCUCUCUUAUUGCUGGGGUUAAUUUUUAUUUAAUUUUCACAUUAUUAAAGGGUAGCUUAUUUUCUUUUAAACACGUUUGAUUCUAUUAACAAAAAAAAAAAAUAGAUGUUAUAAUAUCUUAUAGACUAUAACUAUAUGUUAGUAAUUACUCAAAUUUCAUAAUGAGAAAAUUACUUAUAAAAAGCUUAGACAUGCAUUUGUAAUAAAACUGUUAUUUGUACAAACCAAACCUUAUGUAACAAAGUUAAUUGGGUUCUGUAAAAACUUAUCUUCGAAUUCUACUCGAUUGUUUAUCAAAUCAAGUUCAAACACAAUUUUUUUAAAUCUCUAUAGAAAUUCAAUCAAGCUUGUACAAAUAUAUGUUCAAUUGGACUCGAUUUGUUUACACCCCUGAACACUACAGUCCAUGAUGUUUGUAAACAAGUGAAACAAUAAUAUAAGAUAUUAAAGUAUAUACUAGCAUUUUUCCCCCUUUAUUAGUGAUAUCGGUAACAACAUCAACAUUUAUGCAAAUUUAAUCAUACAAACUCAUUAAAAAAAACUAUAAAAACUUAAUUGUCAUAAUAUGAAAUUGAUCAUUAGAUAAAUCAAGCAAUUUUUUUUUUGGGAAAAUAGGAGAUAAAAUAAUAACAAUAAUAAUUAAAAAAAAAUAUAGAUGUAGUAGAUUAUGAUUGUGCUAUUAAAAAAAUAUACAUGUAGUGGAUUAUGAUUGUGUUAGCCGAGAUUUGGUGUUAAAGUAAUUAGAAAAAGAAUGGCUGCAAAAUAGAAGAUAAAAAAAAAAUAUACAUAUACAUAAUUAAUUUAUUUUUACAAAUAUGCCAUUAGGGUUUCUUAGAUUACCCUAGCGUUUCUUUCUCUUAUAUAUAAGAUAUCUAAAGUUCUAAACCUAAUGUUGAUCACAUAGAGCAUCUCCAACAAGAUGAUGUAUAUCUAUAAUUUACAUCUUUUACACAUUUUAAACCAAAAAUCACAUCUCCAACAACAAGUGGGAAGAAGGCAAUUUUUUUUACAUUUUAACUUUGCAUAUCCGAAAUUGACUAACCAAAAUUACAAUUUUACAAAUUGUGUAAAAAUAAACAAUCAUAAAAGUCCCAUCAGUGCUAUUUUUUAUAUAUUAAAUACAAUAAUUAUUAGACAGAUGGUAAUUAUUUUGCACAUAUAUGUUUCUUUUUAUUAAUAAAAUAAAGAGUGUUUAGUUUUUUUUUUUUUUUUUAAUACAUGUAUAUAUAACAUUAAAUUAUACUUUGCAAUAUAUUUUAAUUCCAAAAAGUUUCUGAGUAAAACACUAAAACAAGAUAUAUGUAUGUAUGUGAAAUUAAAAUUAUAGUUGUUAAAAUUAAUUCAGAACUAAAAUUUUUGUAAAAUAAUAAAAUAUGAUAAUUGUGUAAAAUAUAAACAAUGUUGUUGGAGUGUGUGACGUUAAAAGUGGUGUUUCAUAACACUGUUCGUCUCUUAAAUUAUAGAUAUAGACAACCGAUUUUUAAACAACUGUUGGAGAUGGCCUUACAAAUCACUAGUGUGAGUACUUUUUUCUUCAACGAGAAGAAAGUAUAUAUUUAAUAUUUGCACGUUCAUGCAUGAUUUUCUUAAUCCCCAUUGUUAUCGUUAUCCUAAACACCACUUUGCCAAUUUUCUCGUGCUCGAGUUGCCGCGCAUAUAUUAUCCAUAAUAAUAUUUACUAUUUAUUUUAAUUUAUUUUUCGUUUAUUAAUUGGUGGCACCAAAAUUUGGGAUAUACCGGAGAAAUGAGUGGCAUAUACGGAGAAAAUUCUUGCUCCUAUAUUUCUUUUUAAACAAAAGAGAAAAAUAUUUGUGUUGGGUAUCUGUUCCACAAAAGAAUCCCCUUUUAAAAAAAGAAACUAAUCCCAUUUUCAUUUUUUGCAUUAUUUUUUCCUUUUUUUUUUUCAGUGUACGUUAUAUGUUUCAAAGAAGGGGUAAAAACAAGUUAGCUAUUAUGAAAAUAAAAUUUAUAUAUACAGAAAAUUAUAAAUAUAUAUAAUAUUAAUGAGGAUCCAGAAAUUUAUUCUAUAGAAUGUGCUGUUUUUGCAUUUUCAUUUAAUGUGUUAUUAUAUAGAGUUAUCAACUUAUGAAAAAAGUGAUGGAGGCACAACACAGGCUGUAGAUUAUAUUCGCCUUCUUCGAUCUAUUGCGACCCUUUAAAUAUUAAAGGGUCGUAUCUCCAAAUUCUUCAUCAUCGAAAAAUAAGAAACCGUGUGCAUCAUUGUCCAAUCGUGGACGCAUAAUUAAUAUAGGAAAUUCCAAACCCUUUUUUUUCUCCUUUUUUAUUUUCUUAGAAAUAUAAUUUACAGCAUAAAGAAUGAUUUUUGGAAUAUACUAUUUGUACGAAAAAUUUAAGUAAUUUCCCAACAGGCUAUAUAUAUACAUAUAUUUAUUACCUCAAUACAUAGGGACAAAGCAACGGAUGAGAGAUAUAUAAUGUGUACAUGCAUUACUGGGCAAUACUCUUCUGGCAGAAGCUAUAAAAGAACAUCUGCAUGCAAGCUAAUUAGCAAAAUAAUUAUAUUGAAUUAUUUGCAGCAUGCAGAAAUACAUAAGCUACUACUGCCAAAGGAGAUUUGCCCGGCAAUCCAUCUAUACAAACUAACUGAACUAUAUGUUCUUGCAUACCUCGUCGGCUCCUCCUCGUACAUUAUAACUACCGAUCGUCGGGUAAUAUAGUU
Molecule: long non-coding RNA, 6633 nt
Filed under: Erythranthe guttata (spotted monkey flower)
Lineage: Eukaryota; Viridiplantae; Streptophyta; Magnoliopsida; Lamiales; Phrymaceae
Description: long non-coding RNA (EGUT_LNC002061)
Rfam family: mir-399 microRNA precursor family (bases 6395-6546)
Source: RNAcentral